RNAcentral lists this ribosomal RNA (445 nucleotides) under uncultured bacterium. RNAcentral's name for it is "partial 16S ribosomal RNA". It matches the Rfam family "Bacterial small subunit ribosomal RNA", at positions 354 to 796 of the family's 1533-position model. The record is from RNAcentral.
GUAGGGAAUAUUGGGCAAUGGAUGCAAGUCUGACCCAGCCAUCCCGCGUGCCGGAAGAAGGCCCUCAGGGUUGUAAACGGCUUUUGACGGUGAAGAACCGACAGGAUGCGUCCUGUUUUGACGGUAGCCGUUGAAUAAGCACCGGCUAACUCCGUGCCAGCAGCCGCGGUAAUCCGGAGGGUGCGAGCGUUGUCCGGAUUUAUUGGGUUUAAAGGGUGCGUAGGCUGGAAGGUCAGUCAGCGGUGAAAAGCUAUCGCUUAACGAUAGUCUUGCCGCAGAUACUUCCUUUCUUGGAUGAGGAGGAGGCCACUGGAACGGAUGGUGUAGCGGUGAAAUGCAUAGAUAUCAUCCAGAACACCGAUUGCGAAGGCAGGUGGCUGUACCUUAAUCGACGCUGAUGCACGAAAGCAUGGGGAGCAAACAGGAUUAGAAACCCCAGUAGUCC